Triticum aestivum (bread wheat) is the source of this 1813-nucleotide RNA transcript. It is a transcript of the gene named pumilio homolog 24, with no coding region annotated. The transcript is spliced from 10 exons. NCBI's taxonomy places the organism in Eukaryota, Viridiplantae, Streptophyta, Magnoliopsida, Poales, Poaceae. The record is from RefSeq and is a predicted model, not a curated record.
AUACUAUACAUCUUAUCCUCACGGCAUCACACAGUCCUCUAACUCUCUCAGCUCGAGCCUGAUCCCGUCCCUGCCGCUUCCCGUCCAUAGACGGCGUCGCCGCAUUCUUGUCUCCCCUCCACGGCGUCGGCCGGCCCCUCCUCUCCCAGCCAUCUCUCCUCCAUGUCGCGCGCCGAGCCCGUCCUCCCUUCCCUCGAUGGCUUCGUCCGCAUCCUCCUCCGACUGCCACGGUGGCUCGAUUGGUUCGAUCCACCGCCAUCCACGCCCGACAGGUUAUUCCGACGAUGGGGCGGCGGCAAAGCUUAGCGCGAUGACAGAGCCUUCCUCCAGCUCUACCAAGAAACCCUCGCUCUCCGUCCGUCUUCCUCCCUUUGCCAGCACCACCUAGCGUCGCCAUGGUCGGUGGCCGCGACCACCAACAAGAGGAAUCGCGAGGCGGCGGCGGCGGCACCAAGGGGAAGCCGCAGCCCGUCACUGCCAAGGAAAAGCGGGUCACAGCUAAGGAAGUGUCGGAGUCGAGGAAGCCCGACUACAACCUUAAGAAAGACAUCGAAGUACUAUGGGGAAAGAUGAUAGGUCGUCAUUUGAGCAAGGAGGAUAUAAUCAAGCUAGUUACCGAGGCCCUCCGUAAAAUGGAUUGGAAAUAUUUGGAAUUUCUGGAUCCCAUGUAAACGCAUCUGUUCUUCAACUAAGUUGCUGACACUCAUUCUUUAUGAAUGCGUUGCAUAUGGUGUUUUGGUACUUAUUCUGAUAGCCACCAUUUUUUGUCAGACAUGUGUGUAGUGGUUCUCACACUCAAGAGAGUGGCAAGGUUAGGACGCAUAUUAUCAGAAUCUUGAAGAAGCAGAUUAUGAAGCUUGAUGUCAGUGAUUAUGGAUGCCUUGUUCUAUUUGAAGAGCUGACAAAGCAGUUAAAGGAAAUCAUAUUGAUAAGCUUAAACAGGUCCAUCUUUGACCAAGUAUAGGACGGGCAGAUGUCGCGAAAGGAAUACUCAUGGUUUCUGAAGACUGACCAUGCUCCCUCGAGUACUACGCAGCAACAAACUCAGUAAAAAGAGGGCUCAGACAUGGCGACAAGAAUGAAGGUGGAGGGAAAGGAGUGGAGAGAAAGUAUUCUGGAGGUUGAUUUGAAUCCCCGGGUAUGUGGUUAUGCAUGAGCUGUGGAAGCAAAGGUGUGUGUCGGCUGGUUAUGCAUGAGCUGUGGAAGCAAAGGUGUGUGUCGGCUGGAGCUGAUUUACGGGGCUGUCAUUUGGAUGGUACCAAACUGUAAUAAUACAGACUCCCACUCAAAAUUUCACUGCACCAAAGGCUCUCGUCAGGAUGGCAAACCUAGGGAGUUCAGGCACCAUGAAACAUAACUUCCUUUGCCAUCGGAGAGAAAGAAGACGGUAGGCGCGCUCAGGAGAUGACGCAGCAACAACCGUCGAGCGGAGGUUGUGUUUGGAGGCGACCAGCAGAGGCUGCAGCUCCCACAGCUCGCGUGCGAACGAUGUGGCCGGACGACGAUUGAAGCGGCGUUUCUGUUUUGGCGGCGUGCUUUCGCGUGUGGAUGGAGCUCGUACGCCAGGAAGAACUGGCGUCUUGAUGGAGCUCGUACGCCAGGAAGAACUGGCGUUCGUUGGCGGGUCGAAGAAGUUUGAUUUUUGGUCGAUGGACCUCGUCCUCGUUCGUGGGUUGCGGAGCUGUUUUUUUGUUGACUGGGCGCGAUCGUGGGGUUCCAUGGACUUAUCGUUCGUGUGUUGAACUGUGGAUCUCGUACGUGGGCUGAGUUGUUGUAUUUUUUUUUGCGGGCGCUGAGUUGGUGUUUUUUCGUA